UACGUAGGGCGCAAGCGUUAUCCGGAAUUAUUGGGCGUAAAGAGCUCGUAGGCGGUUUGUCGCGUCUGCCGUGAAAGUCCGGGGCUCAACUCCGGAUCUGCGGUGGGUACGGGCAGACUAGAGUGAUGUAGGGGAGACUGGAAUUCCUGGUGUAGCGGUGAAAUGCGCAGAUAUCAGGAGGAACACCAAUGGCGAAGGCAGCACUCUGGGACGGUACUGACGCUGAGACGCGAAAGCCAGGGGAGCAAACGGG
Molecule: ribosomal RNA, 253 nt
Filed under: uncultured bacterium
Lineage: Bacteria
Description: partial 16S ribosomal RNA
Rfam family: Bacterial small subunit ribosomal RNA
Source: RNAcentral